RNAcentral lists this ribosomal RNA (464 nucleotides) under uncultured bacterium. RNAcentral's name for it is "bacterial SSU rRNA". It matches the Rfam family "Bacterial small subunit ribosomal RNA", at positions 8 to 468 of the family's 1533-position model. The record is from RNAcentral.
AGAGUUUGAUCCUGGCUCAGAUUGGACGCUGGCGGCAGGCCUAACACAUGCAAGUCGAACGGUAACAGGAAGCAGCUUGCUGCUUCGCUGACGAGUGGCGGACGGGUGAGUAAUGUCUGGGAAACUGCCUGAUGGAGGGGGAUAACUACUGGAAACGGUAGCUAAUACCGCAUAACGUCGCAAGACCAAAGAGGGGGACCUUAGGGCCUCUUGCCAUCGGAUGUGCCCAGAUGGGAUUAGCUAGUAGGUGGGGUAACGGCUCACCUAGGCGACGAUCCCUAGCUGGUCUGAGAGGAUGACCAGCCACACUGGAACUGAGACACGGUCCAGACUCCUACGGGAGGCAGCAGUGGGGAAUAUUGCACAAUGGGCGCAAGCCUGAUGCAGCCAUGCCGCGUGUAUGAAGAAGGCCUUCGGGUUGUAAAGUACUUUCAGCGGGGAGGAAGGGAGUAAAGUUAAUACCU